RNAcentral lists this unclassified non-coding RNA (336 nucleotides) under soil metagenome. RNAcentral describes it as "partial contains 5.8S ribosomal RNA, internal transcribed spacer 2, and large subunit ribosomal RNA". The stretch from base 1 to 120 matches the Rfam family "5.8S ribosomal RNA", at positions 35 to 154 of the family's 154-position model. The record is from RNAcentral.
GAUGAAGAACGCAGCGAAAUGCGAUAAGUAAUGUGAAUUGCAGAAUUCAGUGAAUCAUCGAAUCUUUGAACGCACAUUGCGCCCGCCAGUAUUCUGGCGGGCAUGCCUGUUCGAGCGUCAUUUCAACCAUCAAGCCCCCGGCUUGUGUUGGGGACCUGCGGCUGCCGCAGGCCCUGAAAAGCAGUGGCGGGCUCGCUGUCACACCGAGCGUAGUAGCAUACAUCUCGCUCUGGGCGUGCUGCGGGUUCCGGCCGUUAAACCACCUUCAUAACCCAAGGUUGACCUCGUAUCAGGUAGGAAGACCCGCUGAACUUAAGCAUAUCAAUAAGCGGAGGA